This is a long non-coding RNA of Lepisosteus oculatus (spotted gar), 717 nucleotides long. RefSeq lists it as uncharacterized. The record is from RefSeq and is a predicted model, not a curated record. Lineage: Eukaryota; Metazoa; Chordata; Actinopteri; Semionotiformes; Lepisosteidae.
UGAUAUCCGAGUAAAGGGAAUGGAGGUCGACUGUUUGAGUAUUGAAAGUUGAGAAAAUGCUUCACUGUGUACCUUCAAAUCAGGCAAAGCCAGCAACUGGUGGAGAAGAUUGUUUUUUUUUUCCCCGUACAGUCCUUUUUCCUUCUAUGUCUUCACACGCUUACGGAUCCCCUCAUAAUAAAAUGAGGCUGGACGGUUCCCGAGUCAGCACUGUGCCUUCACUCUGACCUCGUCAUCGCUGAAGUUCCAGCCUUGGAGAGCUUCCUUCACUGGGCCAAACUGAUGAUCAGCUGACAGUCCUACAGUGCAAGAUCCAGGCUGUAAGGCCAUUUUAAAGUCCCCGCCGCGUAAGAGGACCAUAACGCUUCAACAUCAACAUCAUUUUUUGGUGAAAACAAUGUAUUUGGUAAAUUCUCAGUGCUGUAACAACCAAACGGCUGCCUCCGAGGUGGAGACCUGUACUUCCUGUGCUGGAUAGAGGGCGUUGCUCUCCUCUGUGUCGAGACAUUUCUUCGGGAAGAAAAGGACAUUGCAAAACACAAGAAACCAUUGUCCUGACUGUACCUCCCUCAUUGUGAGGACAAUGCUAACUAUUUCACACCGCACUGGGCUGCAAUAUGAUACUUAACAUGAGCCUACUAGACGAUCAGUUAAAAAUGAACUACACAAGCACUUCUGAUAAAUAUCCAGCACAGAAGGAGCUCUUCUCCCAAGAGC